GUGCUUGCACCUCUUGAGAGCGGCGGACGGGUGAGUAAUGCCUAGGAAUCUGCCUGGUAGUGGGGGAUAACGCUCGGAAACGGACGCUAAUACCGCAUACGUCCUACGGGAGAAAGCAGGGGACCUUCGGGCCUUGCGCUAUCAGAUGAGCCUAGGUCGGAUUAGCUAGUUGGUGAGGUAAUGGCUCACCAAGGCGACGAUCCGUAACUGGUCUGAGAGGAUGAUCAGUCACACUGGAACUGAGACACGGUCCAGACUCCUACGGGAGGCAGCAGUGGGGAAUAUUGGACAAUGGGCGAAAGCCUGAUCCAGCCAUGCCGCGUGUGUGAAGAAGGUCUUCGGAUUGUAAAGCACUUUAAGUUGGGAGGAAGGGUUGUAGAUUAAUACUCUGCAAUUUUGACGUUACCGACAGAAUAAGCACCGGCUAACUCUGUGCCAGCAGCCGCGGUAAUACAGAGGGUGCAAGCGUUAAUCGGAAUUACUGGGCGUAAAGCGCGCGUAGGUGGUUCGUUAAGUUGGAUGUGAAAUCCCCGGGCUCAACCUGGGAACUGCAUUCAAAACUGUCGAGCUAGAGUAUGGUAGAGGGUGGUGGAAUUUCCUGUGUAGCGGUGAAAUGCGUAGAUAUAGGAAGGAACACCAGUGGCGAAGGCGACCACCUGGACUGAUACUGACACUGAGGUGCGAAAAGCGUGGGGAAGCAAACAGGAUUAGAUACCCUGGUAUUCCACGCCGUAAACGAUGUCAACUAGCCGUUGGGAGCCUUGAGCUCUUAUGGCGCA
Molecule: ribosomal RNA, 779 nt
Filed under: Pseudomonas corrugata
Lineage: Bacteria; Pseudomonadati; Pseudomonadota; Gammaproteobacteria; Pseudomonadales; Pseudomonadaceae
Description: bacterial SSU rRNA
Rfam family: Bacterial small subunit ribosomal RNA
Source: RNAcentral